Molecule: small nuclear RNA, 303 nt
Filed under: Castor canadensis (American beaver)
Lineage: Eukaryota; Metazoa; Chordata; Mammalia; Rodentia; Castoridae
Description: 7SK RNA (ENSCCNG00000012110.1)
Rfam family: 7SK RNA
About the family: 7SK was discovered as an abundant small nuclear RNA in the mid-70s but a possible function has only recently been suggested. Two independent studies have found that 7SK RNA binds the CDK9/cyclin T complex (known as elongation factor P-TEFb). P-TEFb activates transcription by phosphorylating the C-terminal domain of RNA polymerase II.
Source: Rfam by way of RNAcentral
GGAUGUGAGGGCGACUUGGCUGCGACAUGUGUCACCCCAUUCAUCACCAGGGUUGAUUUGGCUGAUCUGGCUGGCUAGACGGGUGUCCCCUUCCUCCCUCACCGCUCCAUGACUGUCCCUCCCGAAGCUGCGCACUCAGUGGAAGAGGACGACCAUCCCCGAUACAGGAGGCCCGUUCUCUGGUCAAGGGUAUACGAGUAGCUGCGCUCCCCUGCUAGAACCUCCAAACAAGCUCUCAAGGGCAAGGCUCUGAGUUCAAAAUGGGUAACACCAAAAAACAAACAAACAAAAGACAUAGUAAUU